GAUGAACGCUGGCGGCGUGCCUAAUACAUGCAAGUCGAGCGAACGGACGAGAAGCUUGCUUCUCUGAUGUUAGCGGCGGACGGGUGAGUAACACGUGGAUAACCUACCUAUAAGACUGGGAUAACUUCGGGAAACCGGAGCUAAUACCGGAUAAUAUUUUGCACCGCAUUGUUCAAAAGUGAAAGACGGUCUUGCUUUCACUUAUAGAUGGAUCCGCGCUGCAUUAGCUAGUUGGUAAGGUAACGGCUUACCAAGGCAACGAUGCAUAGCCGACCUCAGAGGGUGAUCGGCCAGACUGGAACUGAGACACGGUCCAGACUCCUACGGGAGGCAGCAGUAGGGAAUCUUCCGCAAUGGGCGAAAGCCUGACGGAGCAACGCCGCGUGAGUGAUGAAGGUCUUCGGAUCGUAAAACUCUGUUAUUAGGGAAGAACAUAUGUGUAAGUAACUGUGCACAUCUUGACGGUACCUAAUCAGAAAGCCACGGCUAACUACGUG
Molecule: ribosomal RNA, 497 nt
Filed under: uncultured bacterium
Lineage: Bacteria
Description: partial 16S ribosomal RNA
Rfam family: Bacterial small subunit ribosomal RNA
Source: RNAcentral